GUGCUCGCUUCGGCAACACAUAUACUAAAAUUGGAACAAUAUAAUAGAUGAUUAGCAUGGCCCCUGCACAACGAUGAUAUGCAAAUUCGUGAAGUGUUCCAUAUUUUU
Small nuclear RNA from Lepus europaeus (European hare), 108 nucleotides. The record is from RefSeq and is a predicted model, not a curated record. NCBI's taxonomy places the organism in Eukaryota, Metazoa, Chordata, Mammalia, Lagomorpha, Leporidae.